This 502-nucleotide long non-coding RNA is filed under the name Micromonas commoda. RNAcentral describes it as "long non-coding RNA (MCOM_LNC000425)". Lineage: Eukaryota; Viridiplantae; Chlorophyta; Mamiellophyceae; Mamiellales; Mamiellaceae. The record is from RNAcentral.
GCAGCCAGAGCUCGAUUCGUCCAACCAUCGGGGGAAGCGCCGGGAGGACGUGAAAUAUUCCCCCCGCGCCCUCCACCAGCGACCUCGCGAUCUUGAGGCUCUGCGUUUCCUUGAGGGACCCCCACUCGGAAGGCGACGCCGAGCUCGUCCCCGCGCCGACGUACGACGCCGCCUCGAGAGGGCCGCCACCGCCGCCCCCCGCCGCCUUUGCGAGCGCACCCGCGGGGACGUCCACCGCCGAACGGGAUCCCGUCGUCGCGGCCAACCCCGACCCCGACUGGGACGAACGGACGCUCGCGGCGAUCGCCACGCCCCCCCUCGACCCACCGUUGGCGCUCACCACGACGUCAACCUCGGCCCCCCUGGGCGCGGCGACGAGCGCGGCGUCUAUGACCAGCGCGAGCAGCUCCCUCGCGUCCCUCGGGUCAACCGCCGCGACGGCUCGGAGCGGCGGCGGCGGGAACGUCGCCGUCAUGGUCACGCCGGACGGUGCGGCGAUGAC